AUGCCCAGUGAUUUUAAAAAGACGCGUUAUUCUGAGGAACAAACCUGCUGUUCGUCUUUCCCUGCUCUUUGCUCCGUCUACCAUUUCUCUUCUAUCCCUCCUCUCAUCUUCAAACUUAAAGCAGGUCCGCUGACUUAAAUGAUGAAAUAUGAGGGCAU
Molecule: small nucleolar RNA, 158 nt
Organism: Nematolebias whitei (Rio pearlfish)
Lineage: Eukaryota; Metazoa; Chordata; Actinopteri; Cyprinodontiformes; Rivulidae
Product: small nucleolar RNA SNORD97
Exons: 1
Source: RefSeq, a predicted model, not a curated record